AGAGUUUGAUCAUGGCUCAGAUUGAACGCUGGCGGCAGGCCUAACACAUGCAAGUCGAACGGUAACAGGAAGCAGCUUGCUGCUUCGCUGACGAGUGGCGGACGGGUGAGUAAUGUCUGGGAAACUGCCUGAUGGAGGGGGAUAACUACUGGAAACGGUAGCUAAUACCGCAUAACGUCGCAAGACCAAAGAGGGGGACCUUAGGGCCUCUUGCCAUCGGAUGUGCCCAGAUGGGAUUAGCUAGUAGGUGGGGUAACGGCUCACCUAGGCGACGAUCCCUAGCUGGUCUGAGAGGAUGACCAGCCACACUGGAACUGAGACACGGUCCAGACUCCUACGGGAGGCAGCAGUGGGGAAUAUUGCACAAUGGGCGCAAGCCUGAUGCAGCCAUGCCGCGUGUAUGAAGAAGGCCUUCGGGUUGUAAAGUACUUUCAGCGGGGAGGAAGGGAGUAGAGUUAAUACCUUUGCUCAUUGACGUUACCCGCAGAAGAAGCACCGGCUAACUCCGUGCCAGCAGCCGCGGUAAU
RNAcentral lists this ribosomal RNA (527 nucleotides) under uncultured Enterobacterales bacterium. RNAcentral's name for it is "bacterial SSU rRNA". It matches the Rfam family "Bacterial small subunit ribosomal RNA", at positions 8 to 524 of the family's 1533-position model. Lineage: Bacteria; Pseudomonadati; Pseudomonadota; Gammaproteobacteria; Enterobacterales. The record is from RNAcentral.